This 2336-nucleotide long non-coding RNA is filed under the name Olea europaea (common olive). RNAcentral describes it as "long non-coding RNA (OEUR_LNC002463)". The record is from RNAcentral. Lineage: Eukaryota; Viridiplantae; Streptophyta; Magnoliopsida; Lamiales; Oleaceae.
CCGCGUGAUAGCCUCCUCUCCUUUUCUUCCCUUGCAGAUAAAGUCAUUACACAUCUCAAGAACUCGGGAAUUCAAGUCCAACCAGGAUUAUCCGAGUCCGAGUUCGCAUUGGCCGAGGCGGAGUUUGGCUUUACCUUUCCGCCGGACCUGAAAGCUGUUCUCUCAGCCGGAUUUCCCCUCGGCGCCGGUUUCCCUGACUGGCGCUCCUCUCGUUCCGCUCGGCAUCACCUCCGCUCCGCCAUUGAUCUUCCUAUCGCCUCCAUUUCCUUUCACAUAGCUCGGAACUCCUUCUGGUCCAAGUCAUGGGGAACCAGACCAUCUGACCCGGAAAAGGCCCUGAAAAUAGCCCGAAACGCACUUAAAAGGGUCCCUCUUUUGAUACCCGUUUUCAACCAUCGUUACAUUCCUUGCAAUCCUUCUCUAGCAGGAAACCCCAUAUUCUACGUCGAUGAAAGCAGGAUUUUCUUAUGUGGAUUCGACUUAUCAGACUUCUUUGAUCGUGAAUCUUCUCUAUUUCGAAGCCCUAAUCAGAAUUUACUCUCCAAGCAGCUCUCUAUAAGUGAAAAAUCAGGCAGAUCAUCGACGAAUUCUUCGAGAAGAAGUCUAGACACUGUCUCCGUUACAAGAACGCCACGGUGGGUGGAGUUCUGGAGCGACGCCGCUAUCAAUCGCCGCCGGAGGAACUCAGAUUCCUCAUCUACGUCUUCAUCGUCGCCAGACAGAUAUUCCGACAUGCCAAGAUACGAAGUCCCCGACUGGGUCGAGGAAUACGUGUCCCAUAUCGGGUCAGUUUUGAGAGAAGGCGGGUGGGCAGAAUCUGACAUCUCUGAGAUCGCACACGUUCCAGCAUCUGGAUUCUUUGAUGGAGAGAUGGUGAUGCUGGACAAUCAAGCAGUUCUUGAUGCUUUGUUAUUGAAGACAGAUCGGUUCUCGGAUAUGCUCCGGAAAGCCGGGUGGAGAUCCGACGAGGUUUCGGAUGCUCUUGGAUUCGAUUUCCGAUUGGUAGAAAGGAAUCCAUCGAAGAAAUUGUCACCGGAAUUGCUCGAGAGACUCGGAAAACUGACAAAGUCGUUCACUCAACCGUAUUAAUCAUCUUUAAUCUCCAUAUUCUUCGCACUUUUGUCUUUUCAAAAGCCUCCGAUUUGCUCUCCACCUCCUUUGCGAACCUGAGAUAAAUCACUCAGGCUGAAAAAAAAAAAAAAAAGGAAUAAAUUGUUAUCAAUUAUUCUACACUUCUACUUGGAAAUAUGAUUUUGUACAUAUAGAUUGACAGAUGAAUACAUGAUAUCCAUUUGUCCGAUUUAAAUUUCUGAAAUUCAAUUUAUCUAUACAAAAAUUCUGUACAUAUAAAAGAAUUCAAUUGUUAUUAUAACGUUAGUUCAGUCGACUACUACAAGUCAAAUGUAGUACUGCAAUAUAUAUCGAGGAGGUCGGACGGUAUGGAAGGAUUAUCUUACACAUUGUGAAAUCAAAUGGAAAAGGUAUUAGUUUAAAAUUGAAUGAUAUACAACAAAUAAUUUGUAAUUUGUUACAAGUAAUUGUUGUAUUAUAAUGGAAUUGUCUGUGCUCGUUUUCAUGUUGUAAUCUUGAACUAGUUGGACAUGUAAUGUACAAAUGUUAGAUAAGAUUGAUCAAUAUAAUAAAUAAAAUUUUGAUUUCUUACUUUUUUGGUACAGCAUUAUUUAAUAUCUGUUUCUAAAUGUUAGUAGAUGAAUGGUGGGGGUGAGGCCAAGUGAGAGAAAUUGCUAUUGCUUUCGAGCUACGGCGUCGUUUUCAUGUGUAGAAUGUAGGGUGGAAAAUUGCUGUGUCAUGCUAUAAAUAUCUGUCCAUUUAUUUUCUUUUCCCAAUUUUUCAUUUCAGUAUUGGCUUCACUUCGUCGUUCCACUUUCCACUCUCUCUGUGAAAUUUCACCGGCCACCCAAAAUCAGAACCAUUUCUCCCGCUCGAUUUCCUGGUAAAUUAGAAGAAUGGUUGACGUCGAACGGAGGAUGACCGGUUUAAACCCGGCCCACGUAGCCGGCCUUCGUCGUCUCUCGGCAAGAGCGGCCGCCUCCACCCCUUCCACACCUCUUCCGCCGCGUGAUAGCCUCCUCUCCUUUUCUUCCCUUGCAGAUAAAGUCAUUACACAUCUCAAGAACUCGGGAAUUCAAGUCCAACCAGGAUUAUCCGAGUCCGAGUUCGCAUUGGCCGAGGCGGAGUUUGGCUUUACCUUUCCGCCGGACCUGAAAGCUGUUCUCUCAGCCGGAUUUCCCCUCGGCGCCGGUUUCCCUGACUGGCGCUCCUCUCGUUCGGCUCGGCAUCACCUCCGGUCCGCCAUUGAUCUUCCUAUCGCCUCC